AGCCUGAUGCAGCGACGCCGCGUGAGGGAUGACGGCCUUCGGGUUGUAAACCUCUUUCAGUAGGGAAGAAGCGAAAGUGACGGUACCUGCAGAAGAAGCACCGGCUAACUACGUGCCAGCAGCCGCGGUAAUACGUAGGGUGCGAGCGUUAUCCGGAAUUAUUGGGCGUAAAGAGCUCGUAGGCGGUUUGUCGCGUCUGUCGUGAAAGUCCGGGGCUUAACCCCGGAUCUGCGGUGGGUACGGGCAGACUAGAGUGCAGUAGGGGAGACUGGAAUUCCUGGUGUAGCGGUGGAAUGCGCAGAUAUCAGGAGGAACACCGAUGGCGAAGGCAGGUCUCUGGGCUGUAACUGACGCUGAGGAGCGAAAGCAUGGGGAGCGAACAGGAUUAGAUACCCUGGUAGUCCAUGCCGUAAACGUUGGGCACUAGGUGUGGGGACCAUUCCACGGUUUCCGCGCCGCAGCUAACGCAUUAAGUGCCCCGCCUGGGGAGUACGGCCGCAAGGCUAAAACUCAAAGGAUUUGACGGGG
Molecule: ribosomal RNA, 528 nt
Filed under: Micrococcus endophyticus
Lineage: Bacteria; Bacillati; Actinomycetota; Actinomycetes; Micrococcales; Micrococcaceae
Description: bacterial SSU rRNA
Rfam family: Bacterial small subunit ribosomal RNA
Source: RNAcentral